ACGAACGCUGGCGGCGUGCUUAACACAUGCAAGUCGAACGGAAAGGCCCUGCUUUUGUGGGGUGCUCGAGUGGCGAACGGGUGAGUAACACGUGAGUAACCUGCCCUUGACUUUGGGAUAACUUCAGGAAACUGGGGCUAAUACCGGAUAGGAGCUCCUGCUGCAUGGUGGGGGUUGGAAAGUUUCGGCGGUUGGGGAUGGACUCGCGGCUUAUCAGCUUGUUGGUGGGGUAGUGGCUUACCAAGGCUUUGACGGGUAGCCGGCCUGAGAGGGUGACCGGCCACAUUGGGACUGAGAUACGGCCCAGAAUCCUACGGGAGGCAGCAGUGGGGAAUAUUGCACAAUGGGCGGAAGCCUGAUGCAGCAACGCCGCGUGCGGGAUGACGGCCUUCGGGUUGUAAACCGCUUUCGCCUGUGACGAAGCGUGAGUGACGGUAAUGGGUAAAGAAGCACCGGCUAACUACGUG
This 467-nucleotide ribosomal RNA is filed under the name uncultured bacterium. RNAcentral's name for it is "partial 16S ribosomal RNA". It matches the Rfam family "Bacterial small subunit ribosomal RNA", at positions 29 to 507 of the family's 1533-position model. The record is from RNAcentral.